GCAUAACGCGAAGAACCUUACCAAGGCUUGACAUAUACGGUCUAUCCCUAGAGAUAGGGAGUGCUUCGGCGCCGUAUACAGGUGGUGCAUGGUUGUCGUCAGCUCGUGUCGUGAGAUGUUGGGUUAAGUCCCGCAACGAGCGCAACCCUCGUCCUAUGUUGCCAGCGGGUAAUGGCCGGGGACUCAUGGGAGACUGCCGGGGUCAACUCGGAGGAAGGUGGGGAUGAGGUCAAAUCAUCAUGCCCCUUAUGUCUUGGGCUUCACGCAUGCUACAAUGGCCGGUACAAAGGGCUGCAAUACCGCAAGGUGGAGCGAAUCCCAAAAAGCCGGUCUCAGUUCGGAUUGAGGCCUGCAACUCGACCUCAUGAAGUCGGAGUCGCUAGUAAUCGCAGAUCAGCAACGCUGCGGUGAAUACGUUCCCGGGUCUUGUACACACCG
RNAcentral lists this ribosomal RNA (438 nucleotides) under uncultured bacterium. RNAcentral describes it as "bacterial SSU rRNA". It matches the Rfam family "Bacterial small subunit ribosomal RNA", at positions 954 to 1392 of the family's 1533-position model. The record is from RNAcentral.